AACGAACGCUGGCGGCGCGUCUUAAACAUGCAAGUCGAACGAUCUGUAGCAAUACAGGGAGUGGCGGACGGGUGAGGAACACGUAGGAAUCUACCUAGAAGAGCGGGACAACUUUGGGAAACCGGGGCUAAUACCGCAUAGUACAGAGAUGUUAAAGGGCUAGCAAUAGUCGCUUCUAGAUGAGCCUGCGGUCUAUCAGCUUGUUGGUGAGGUAAUGGCUCACCAAGGCAGCGACGGAUAGCCGGUCUGAGAGGAUGAUCGGCCACACUGGCACUGAGACACGGGCCAGACUCCUACGGGAGGCAGCAGUUAAGAAUCUUGCGCAAUGGGGGAAACCCUGACGCAGCGACGCCGCGUGAAGGAUGAAGGCUUUCGGGUUGUAAACUUCGGUAGACUGGGAAGAAGAACUACGUUCGUUGAGGGCGUAGAGUGACGGUACCAGUCUGAAGCCCCGGCUAAUUACGUGCCAGCAGCCGCG
RNAcentral lists this ribosomal RNA (478 nucleotides) under uncultured bacterium. Its description in RNAcentral is "bacterial SSU rRNA". It matches the Rfam family "Bacterial small subunit ribosomal RNA", at positions 29 to 519 of the family's 1533-position model. The record is from RNAcentral.